This 699-nucleotide ribosomal RNA is filed under the name Triticum aestivum (bread wheat). RNAcentral's name for it is "partial small subunit ribosomal RNA". Lineage: Eukaryota; Viridiplantae; Streptophyta; Magnoliopsida; Poales; Poaceae. The record is from RNAcentral.
AUGGAGCACCAGAUGUUCAACGACCCGUUCACGAGCAGCAUGUCGUCACUGGAGGCGGAAAUCUUCUCCGGUGGCCACCACCACCCAGCGCCGUCCCUGCAGUGGCCGGGCCUAGACCACGACAUCCCGGCGGCACCGGCUGCCAACAACGCCACCUCAUCCGGCGGCCCGGGUUCCCACCGGAAGAUGAGCCACAGCGCGUACGAGCGCGACAGCCGCAAGCAGCUCAACGAGCAUUAUUCCAACCUUCGCUCCCUCCUCCCUGACGAUGAUCAUCACACUAGGAAGCUGAACAAUCCGACCAUUGUGUCGCGGGUGAUCAAGUACAUCCCGGAGCUGCAGAAGGAGGUAGACGGCCUGGAGAAGAAGAAGGAACAGCUGACGCGUGCCAGCUGCAGGCCGGGAGAUGACACGGCUCCGAUCGUCUCCGCCACCUGCCUCAACGACAGGGAAAUCAUGGUCCAGGUCAGCCUGCUGAACACCAUGGCUGGCGCUCUGCCCAUGUCCAAAUGCAUCAACGUGCUGGAGAAUCAAGGCCUCUGCCUCGUCAGCUCGUCCGCUUCCGCUUUUCAGAACAGGACCUUCUAUAGCCUUCAUCUUCAGAGAACCCAACGAACAAUGAGCAAAGAGUGCUCAGCAUUUUGUGACGAACUGGAGAACGCCGUGAAGCAAAAGGCGGGACUACAUCCACAUUACUAG